GACAGAGGGGGCAAGCGUUGUCCGGACUGACUGGGCGUAAAGCGCGCGCAGGCGGUCGGAGGCGUCGGUGCUGAAAGUGCGCCGCUUAACGGCGCGAUGCGUGCCGAUACGCUCCGACUGGAGGGUGGGCGAGGGUGGUAGAAUUGCCGGUGUAGUGGUGAAAUGCGUAGAGAUCGGCAGGAAUACCAGUGGCGAAGGCGGCCACCUAGCCCGCACCUGACGCUGAGGCGCGACAGCGUGGGGAGUGAACUGG
Molecule: ribosomal RNA, 253 nt
Filed under: uncultured bacterium
Lineage: Bacteria
Description: partial 16S ribosomal RNA
Rfam family: Bacterial small subunit ribosomal RNA
Source: RNAcentral